Molecule: ribosomal RNA, 458 nt
Filed under: uncultured bacterium
Lineage: Bacteria
Description: partial 16S ribosomal RNA
Rfam family: Bacterial small subunit ribosomal RNA
Source: RNAcentral
GAUAAACGCUGGCGGCGUGCCUAAUACAUGCAAGUCGAGCGGAAAGGCUCCUUCGGGAGUACUCGAGCGGCGGACGGCUGAGUAACACGUAGGAACGUACCCCAAAGUGAGGGAUAACUGCUCGAAAGAGUAGCUAAUACCGCAUGUGCUCUAAGGAGUAAAGCUUCGGCGCUUUGGGAACGGCCUGCGCCUGAUUAGCUUGUUGGUGAGGUAAAAGCUCACCAAGGCGACGAUCAGUAGCUGGUCUGAGAGGAUGAUCAGCCAGACUGGGACUGGGAACGGCCCAGACUCCUACGGGAGGCAGCAGUAGGGAAUUUUCCACAAUGGGCGAAAGCCUGAUGGAGCAACGCCGCGUGCAGGAUGAAUGCCUUCGGGUUGUAAACUGCUUUUAUAUGUGACGAAUAUGACGGUAGCAUAUGAAUAAGGAUCGGCUAACUCCGUGCCAGCCGCCGCGGUAA